AGCCUUUAGCCAAACAAGUAUUAAAGGUCCCGCCUGCCCAGUGACAUAUUAAACGGCCGCGGUAUUCUAACCGUGCAAAGGUAGCGUAAUCACUUGUCUUCUAAAUAAAGACCUGUAUGAACGGCUAAAUGAGGGCAAACCUGUCUCCUAUAACUAAUCAGUGAAACUGAUCUCCCAGUCCAAAAGCUGGGAUAAUACCAUAAGACGAGAAGACCCUGUGGAGCUUCAAACUGCCCACUAACCAGCACACCCGCCUGCCGUCAAUAGUACACAGUUUUAAGUUGGGGCGACUUCGGAAAAAACAAAACUUCCAAGCACAGAACCACAAAUUCUAACCUAGGCCCACAAACCAAAGUUUAUAAAACCGACCCAGUAACACUGAUCAACGAACCAAGUUACCCCAGGGAUAACAGCGCUAUCUUCUUCAAGAGUCCAUAUCGACAAGAAGGUUUACGACCUCGAUGUUGGAUCAGGACACCCAAAUGGUGCAGCCGCUAUUAAAGGUUCGUUUGUUCAACGAUUAACAG
RNAcentral lists this ribosomal RNA (527 nucleotides) under Chalcides bedriagai pistaciae. RNAcentral's name for it is "partial 16S ribosomal RNA". It matches the Rfam family "Bacterial large subunit ribosomal RNA", at positions 1817 to 2593 of the family's 2925-position model. Lineage: Eukaryota; Metazoa; Chordata; Lepidosauria; Squamata; Scincidae. The record is from RNAcentral.